ACAAGGGGGCUUGGCUUCUACAAGGCGACUUAGGCUUUUUUGUAAAGCAUAUGCCGCCUUCAAAAAUACAAGUCCAUUUGUCAAAACGUUGGAUCCAGGUUUUACAUUGUUCUCCUUUUGCUCAUCAUUUACAAUGUGGUUGAUAUGAGAGGAAUUCACAUUCCUUGCGCCGGUAUCCUGUUUGCCUCGCUUUAUUGCGUAUACGGAUCAACGUUUUCAAAAUUUGCCAACGAGUGCCAACCUAUGCAUUGCUUACGAGGAUAUAUGGUUUGCUGUUUCCAAAGCCACACACACUGCUCCUGUGGUUGUGCGCCGAGUACAACAUCAUGUGAAACUCUUUUUACAAAAGAGUGCCCCUUACCUCAAGCGAUCUUGUGUACUGGCAUAAAGUCAACCUGCUAUUGUAUUUCACCCUCUCCGCCAUAGAGGUUCCAGAAUGACCACUCAUUUAUGGCUCACCGUUUGUCACUGACUAUUAGCAACGGUAUUCGAUGGAAACACUUCGUCAAAUUAUGUAAUAAACUUAUUUUCUGAACAGAUU
This is a non-coding RNA of Dermacentor albipictus, 541 nucleotides long. Lineage: Eukaryota; Metazoa; Arthropoda; Arachnida; Ixodida; Ixodidae. The record is from RefSeq and is a predicted model, not a curated record.